GACGAACGCUGGCGGCGUGCCUAAUACAUGCCAGUAGAACGCUGAAGAGAGGAGCUUACUCUUCUUGGAUGAGUUGCGAACGGGUGAGUAACGCGUAGGUAACCUGCCUUGUAGCGGGGGAUAACUAUUGGAAACGAUAGCUAAUACCGCAUAACAAUGGAUGACACAUGUCCUUUAUUUGAAAGGGGCAAUUGCUCCACUACAAGAUGGACCUGCGUUGUAUUAGCUAGUAGGUGAGGUAAUGGCUCACCUAGGCGACGAUACAUAGCCGACCUGAGAGGGUGAUCGGCCACACUGGGACUGAGACACGGCCCAGACUCCUACGGGAGGCAGCAGUAGGGAAUCUUCGGCAAUGGGGGCAACCCUGACCGAGCAACGCCGCGUGAGUGAAGAAGGUUUUCGGAUCGUAAAGCUCUGUUGUAAGUCAAGAACGGGUGUGAGAGUGGAAAGUUCACACUGUGACGGUAGCUUACCAGAAAGGGACGGCUAACUACGUG
RNAcentral lists this ribosomal RNA (497 nucleotides) under uncultured bacterium. Its description in RNAcentral is "partial 16S ribosomal RNA". It matches the Rfam family "Bacterial small subunit ribosomal RNA", at positions 28 to 507 of the family's 1533-position model. The record is from RNAcentral.